RNAcentral lists this ribosomal RNA (429 nucleotides) under uncultured bacterium. RNAcentral describes it as "bacterial SSU rRNA". It matches the Rfam family "Bacterial small subunit ribosomal RNA", at positions 29 to 506 of the family's 1533-position model. The record is from RNAcentral.
ACGAACGCUGGCGGCAGGCCUAACACAUGCAAGUCGAGCGCCUCGCAAGAGGAGCGGCGGACGGGUGAGUAACGCGUGGGAACGUACCCUCUUCUACGGAAUAGCCUCGGGAAACUGGGAGUAAUACCGUAUACGCCCUUUGGGGGAAAGAUUUAUCGGAGGAGGAUCGGCCCGCGUUGGAUUAGGUAGUUGGUGGGGUAAUGGCCUACCAAGCCGACGAUCCAUAGCUGGUUUGAGAGGAUGAUCAGCCACACUGGGACUGAGACACGGCCCAGACUCCUACGGGAGGCAGCAGUGGGGAAUCUUAGACAAUGGGCGCAAGCCUGAUCUAGCCAUGCCGCGUGAGCGAUGAAGGCCUUAGGGUUGUAAAGCUCUUUCAGGGGGGAAGAUAAUGACUGUACCCCCAGAAGAAGCCCCGGCUAACUCCGU